RNAcentral lists this ribosomal RNA (468 nucleotides) under uncultured bacterium. Its description in RNAcentral is "partial 16S ribosomal RNA". It matches the Rfam family "Bacterial small subunit ribosomal RNA", at positions 28 to 507 of the family's 1533-position model. The record is from RNAcentral.
GACGAACGCUGGCGGCGUGCUUAAUACAUGCAAGUCGAACGGAAAGGCCCUGCUUUUGUGGGGUGCUCGAUUGGCGAACGGGUGAGUAACACGUGAGUAACCUGCCCUUUACUUUGGGAUAUCUUCAGGAAACUGGGGCUAUUACCGGAUAUGAGCUCCUGCUGCAUGGUGGGGGUUGGAAAGUUUCGGCGGUUGGGGAUGGACGCGCGGCUUAUCAGCGUGUUGGUGGGGUAGUGGCUUACCAAGGCUUUGCCGGGUAGCCGGCCUGAGAGGGUGACCGGCCACAUUGGGACUGAGGGACGGACCAGACUCCUACCGGAGGCAGCAGUGGGGAAUAUUGCACAACGGGCCGAAGCCUGAUGCAGCAACGCCGCGGGCGGGAAGACGGCCUUCGGGUUGUAAACCGCUUUCGCCUGUGACGAAGCGAGAGUGACGGUAAUGAGUAAAGAAGCACCGGCUAACUACGUG